AGGACGAACGCUGGCGGCGUGCUUAACACAUGCAAGUCGAGCGGAAAGGCCCUUCGGGGUACUCGAGCGGCGAACGGGUGAGUAACACGUGGGUAACCUGCCCUCCACUCUGGGAUAACUCCGGGAAACCGGGGCUAAUACCGGAUAUGACCAUCUUAGGCAUCUUUGGUGGUGGAAAGUUUUUCGGUGGGGGAUGGACCCGCGGCCUAUCAGCUUGGUUGGUGGGGUGAUGGCCUACCAAGGCGAUGACGGGUAG
Molecule: ribosomal RNA, 256 nt
Filed under: uncultured bacterium
Lineage: Bacteria
Description: partial small subunit ribosomal RNA
Rfam family: Bacterial small subunit ribosomal RNA
Source: RNAcentral